AACGAACGCUGGCGGCAUGCCUUACACAUGCAAGUCGAACGCGAAAGCACUUUCGGGUGUUAGUAGAGUGGCAAACGGGUGAGUAACGCGUGGGAAUCUACCUUAUAGUACGGAAUAGCCUCGGGAAACUGGGAUUAAUACCGUAUAUUCCCUUCGGGGGAAAGAUUUAUCGCUAUAAGAUGAGCCCGCGUCAGAUUAGCUAGUUGGUGGGGUAAAAGCCUACCAAGGCAACGAUCUGUAGCUGGUCUGAGAGGACGAUCAGCCACAUUGGGACUGAGACACCGCCCAAACGCCUACGGGAGGCAGCAGUGGGGAAUAUUGGACAAUGGGCGAAAGCCUGAUCCAGCAAUGCCGCGUGAAUGAUGAAGGCCUUAGGGUUGUAAAGGUCUUUUAGUGGGGAAGAUAAUGACGGUACCCACAGAAAAAGCACCGGCUAACUUCGUGCCAGCAGCCGCCGUAA
Molecule: ribosomal RNA, 460 nt
Filed under: uncultured bacterium
Lineage: Bacteria
Description: partial 16S ribosomal RNA
Rfam family: Bacterial small subunit ribosomal RNA
Source: RNAcentral